This 468-nucleotide ribosomal RNA is filed under the name uncultured bacterium. RNAcentral's name for it is "partial 16S ribosomal RNA". It matches the Rfam family "Bacterial small subunit ribosomal RNA", at positions 28 to 507 of the family's 1533-position model. The record is from RNAcentral.
GACGAACGCUGGCGGCGUGCUUAACACAUGCGAGUCGGACGGAAAGGCCCUGCUUUUGUGGGGUGCUCGAGUGGCGAACGGGUGAGUAACACGUGAGUAACCUGCCCUUGACUUUGGGAUAACUUCAGGAAACUGGGGCUAAUACCGGAUAGGAGCUCCUGCUGCAUGGUGGGGGUUGGAAAGUUUCGGCGGUUGGGGAUGGACUCGCGGCUUAUCAGCUUGUUGGUGGGGUAGUGGCUUACCAAGGCUUUGACGGGUAGCCGGCCUGAGAGGGUGACCGGCCACAUUGGGACUGAGAUACGGCCCAGACUCCUACGGGAGGCAGCAGUGGGGAAUAUUGCACAAUGGGCGGAAGCCUGAUGCAGCAACGCCGCGUGCGGGAUGACGGCCUUCGGGUUGUAAACCGCUUUCGCCUGUGACGAAGCGUGAGUGACGGUAAUGGGUAAAGAAGCACCGGCUAACUACGUG